UUCGGGAGACAGGGAGACAGGUGGUGCAUGGUUGUCGUCAGCUCGUGUCGUGAGAUGUUGGGUUAAGUCCCGCAACGAGCGCAACCCCUACAUUUAGUUGCUAACAGGUGAAGCUGAGCACUCUAGACGAACUGCCGUUGACAAACGGAGGAAGGUGGGAUGACGUCAAAUCAUCAUGCCCUUAUGUUCUGGGCUACACACGUGCUACAAUGGCCGGUACAGACGGAGGCGAAGCCGCGAGGCGGAGCAAAUCCGAAAAAGCCGGUCUCAGUUCGGAUUGCAGGCUGCAAUUCGCCUGCAUGAAGUCGGAAUCGCUAGUAAUCGCAGGUCAGCAUACUGCGGUGAAUACGUUCCCGGGCCUU
Molecule: ribosomal RNA, 362 nt
Filed under: uncultured Pelotomaculum sp.
Lineage: Bacteria; Bacillati; Bacillota; Clostridia; Eubacteriales; Desulfotomaculaceae
Description: bacterial SSU rRNA
Rfam family: Bacterial small subunit ribosomal RNA
Source: RNAcentral